UCGAAAGAGAGACGAUAGACAAAACACAAAAGUUCAAUGAGAUUACAAGAUUACAUAGAAAACAGAGUCUAUCACUAAUUUGGGCGUGAUUUGGGCUUGGCUGCACGAGAAAUGGUGCAACAAUUAAAAUUCAAAAAAUUUGGUCGUGUGAACUCUUAGCUCAGCUCUCCACUCCAUUACUUAUAACUGUAUGCAGAUAAACAGUAUCCUUCUUUAUUGGAGAAACUACUGACGAUGUCGAUCGAGUUACGUAUCUCUUCUUCCUCUUUUUUUAAAGGUCCUCGUGUACUCCCAUGUGAGUGUAGGAGUAUUCACGAGGACCUCCUUUUUCCUAUCCUGCCUGAUGGUGGAUUCAACUUAUUUCUGCGGAUGGACUACUUGUGGAAGCCUGGCCGUAUUUCCCAGGCUUAAGCCUUAAAGCUCUCUUAUGGUGCUGAUGCAGUCUGGAACGUUUGCCGUCUUUAUCAAACAUUGGAUGUCCUCUGCUGAAUAGCUGCUCCUUCCAACCUUCUCAAUCAAGUUGCCGGCGUUGC
Molecule: long non-coding RNA, 533 nt
Organism: Daphnia pulicaria
Lineage: Eukaryota; Metazoa; Arthropoda; Branchiopoda; Diplostraca; Daphniidae
Exons: 3
Source: RefSeq, a predicted model, not a curated record